CACGUAGGGGGCAAGCGUUGUCCGGAUUCAUUGGGCGUAAAGAGCUCGUAGGCGGUUCGAUAAGUCGGGUGUGAAACCUCCAGGCUCAACCUGGAGGCGCCACCCGAUACUGUCGUGACUAGAGUCCAGUAGGGGAGCGUGGAAUUCCUGGUGUAGCGGUGAAAUGCGCAGAUAUCAGGAGGAACACCAGCGGCGAAGGCGGCGCUCUGGGCUGGAACUGACGCUGAGGAGCGAAAGCGUGGGGAGCGAACAGG
This 254-nucleotide ribosomal RNA is filed under the name uncultured bacterium. Its description in RNAcentral is "partial 16S ribosomal RNA". It matches the Rfam family "Bacterial small subunit ribosomal RNA", at positions 524 to 776 of the family's 1533-position model. The record is from RNAcentral.